RNAcentral lists this long non-coding RNA (900 nucleotides) under Physcomitrium patens. RNAcentral describes it as "long non-coding RNA (PPAT_LNC006258)". Lineage: Eukaryota; Viridiplantae; Streptophyta; Bryopsida; Funariales; Funariaceae. The record is from RNAcentral.
UUAGGAUUUAGGAUUUGGUUAGGAUUUGGCUUAGGAUUUAAGAUUUGAUUAGGAUUUAAUUUAGGAUUAGAUUUUGGUUAGGAUUUGGUUAGGAUUUGAUUUAGGAUUUAGGAUUUAGUUAGGAUUUGGUUUAGGGUUGAAGAUUUGAUUAGGAUUUGAUUUAGGGUUGAGGAUUUGAUUAAGAUUUGGUUUAGAAUUUAGGAUUUGAUUACGAUUUGAUUUAAGAUUAAGGAUUUGGUUAGGGUUAGGUUUUGAGUUUACGAUUUGAUUAAGGUUUGAUUUAGAAUUUAGGAUUUUAUUAGGAUUUAGUUAAGAUUUGAUUUAGAAUUAAGAUUUGAUUAAGGUUUGGUUAGAGUUUGAUUUAAGGUUUAGGAUUUGGUUAGGAUUUGGUUAAGGUUUGAUUUAAGAUUUAGGAUUUGGUUAGGAUUUGGUUUAGGAUUGAGGGUUUAGUUAGGAUUUGGUUUAGGAUUUAGGAUUUGAUUAGGAUUUGAUUUAGGUUUUAGGAUUUGGUUAGAGUUUGAUUUAGGAUUUAGGAUUUGGUUUAGGAUCUAGGAUUUGGUUAGGAUUUUUUUAGAAUUAGGAUUAGAUUUUAUUUAGGAUUUUUGUAGGAUUUAAGAUUUAAUUAGUUUUUGGCCUAAAGUUUGAUUGAAGUUUAAUAGGAUUUUAAGUAGAAUUAGAUUAAGAUUGAAUUGAAAUUUAUUUGAGAUAUAUUAGUGAUCAUUUUAAUAUUUCUUUAAGAUUUCUUAUUUUUUCUUUGUAAUUACUUUAAGGUUUCUUUGAAUUUGAUUAAAGCUUGUUUAGCAUUGUUAUGGUCUAAUUAGAGUUUAGUUAGUAUUCUAUUAGAGUUAGCAUUUUGUUGUUGCAAUUUCUAUUCUACCUUUCACAACCACGUGCCUGGAG